This 253-nucleotide ribosomal RNA is filed under the name uncultured bacterium. RNAcentral's name for it is "partial 16S ribosomal RNA". It matches the Rfam family "Bacterial small subunit ribosomal RNA", at positions 524 to 776 of the family's 1533-position model. The record is from RNAcentral.
UACGUAGGGUCCGAGCGUUGUCCGGAAUUACUGGGCGUAAAGAGCUCGUAGGUGGUUUGUCGCGUUGUUCGUGAAAACUCACAGCUUAACUGUGGGCGUGCGGGCGAUACGGGCAGACUAGAGUACUGCAGGGGAGACUGGAAUUCCUGGUGUAGCGGUGGAAUGCGCAGAUAUCAGGAGGAACACCGGUGGCGAAGGCGGGUCUCUGGGCAGUAACUGACGCUGAGGAACGAAAGCGUGGGUAGCGAACAGG